GCGCGAUUAGCUCAGUUGGAUAGAGCGCUGGCCUCCGGAGCCAGAGGCCGCAGGUUCGACUCCUGCAUCGCGCGCCA
This 77-nucleotide transfer RNA is filed under the name Desulfuromonadales bacterium. Its description in RNAcentral is "tRNA-Arg". It matches the Rfam family "tRNA". From Rfam's summary of the family: Transfer RNA (tRNA) molecules are approximately 80 nucleotides in length. Lineage: Bacteria; Pseudomonadati; Thermodesulfobacteriota; Desulfuromonadia; Desulfuromonadales. The record is from RNAcentral.